CUGCUGCCUCCCGUAGGAGUUUGGGCCGUGUCUCAGUCCCAAUGUGGCCGUUCACCCUCUCAGGCCGGCUACUGAUCGUUGCCUUGGUAGGCCAUUACCCCACCAACUAGCUAAUCAGACGCGGAACCAUCGUAUACCACCAGAGUUUUUCACACCGCUUCAUGCGAAGCUGUGCGCUUAUGCGGUAUUAGCACCUAUUUCUAAGUGUUAUCCCCCAGUAUACGGCAGGUUUUCCACGCGUUACUCACCCGUCCGCCAA
Molecule: ribosomal RNA, 259 nt
Filed under: uncultured bacterium
Lineage: Bacteria
Description: partial 16S ribosomal RNA
Source: RNAcentral